This 600-nucleotide ribosomal RNA is filed under the name uncultured bacterium. RNAcentral's name for it is "bacterial SSU rRNA". It matches the Rfam family "Bacterial small subunit ribosomal RNA", at positions 720 to 1324 of the family's 1533-position model. The record is from RNAcentral.
GGCAGCCUUCCAGUCCUUAACUGACGCUAAAGCUCGAAGGUGCGGGUAUCGAACAGGAUUAGAUACCCUGGUAGUCCGCACGGUAAACGAUGGAUGCCCGCUGUUGGCGAUAUAUUGUCAGCGGCCAAGCGAAAGCGUUAAGCAUCCCACCUGGGGAGUACGCCGGCAACGGUGAAACUCAAAGGAAUUGACGGGGGCCCGCACAAGCGGAGGAACAUGUGGUUUAAUUCGAUGAUACGCGAGGAACCUUACCCGGGCUUGAACUGCAGCGGAAGGAAACAGAGAUGUUGACGUCCUUCGGGACCGCUGUGGAGGUGCUGCAUGGUUGUCGUCAGCUCGUGCCGUGAGGUGUCGGCUUAAGUGCCAUAACGAGCGCAACCCUUUUCUCCAGUUGCCAGCAUGCGAUGGUGGGCACUCUGGAGACACUGCCACCGUAAGGUGUGAGGAAGGUGGGGAUGACGUCAAAUCAGCACGGCCCUUACGUCUGGGGCUACACACGUUUUACAAUGGGUGGUACAGAGAGCUGGUUGCCGGCAACGGCGAUCGAAUCCUCAAAGCCAUUCUCAGUUCGGAUUGGGGUCUGCAACCCGACCCCAUGAA